GUUAGCAGUUGUUGAAACCACAGAGAUGGUUCUCUUCUUUUGACAAGCAUGUUUUCUUUAUGUUUUCAGACAGUCGUUGUCUAUGUUAUUAAUAUGGAGAUUUUGUCAGAAUAUUUGUUUUCUUGUACCUGAUUUGUGUUACAUGAGUAGCCUUUUUGUUUUGUUUCUUUUUCCGUAUAAUGGGUAUUCAAAUUCCUUAUUAAUUUUAGGAAGAUAUACCUGCUAAUAUGUGUAAAAUUUUGGAAUAAAAGCAGGAUAGAGAAUUAUUAUUUCAGCAUCUGAACCCCAUCAUUAUUUACUUGUAUGUUCAAAUCUCUGAAUCAUUUAACAGGACACAUUUGUGGCCGUUCAUUUAACUUUUUUUAACUGUGUUGUAGAUUUUUUUUAUUCACUGUUGCCUUUUGGCAUUUUAAGAGCGUAGAAAUUUCAGUUGUGUAGUGAAACUUCCCUGAUUCCUCAUGUCAGACUGUAGUUGAACUGUAGAGACCUGGAGGUAGAGUGUGUGCUCUUCUGACAAGUGUCAGGAGAGACAUGUGCAAAGAAUGGAGGAAUCCAUUCUUCUAACAGUCACCCUGCUGUGAUAACAAGAGUGAACAGCUUUAUGCAAGAGGUUUCCAGCCUGAUCCUGACAGGUGCAUCAUUUCUUGGUGGGAAAUGAUUGUUAUUCCAAGGAACAGACUAUAUGAAGUCAUUGUUCCCCAAAGUAACAAAAUCUGUGCCUCCAUGUUUUAGAAUAGAGCAUGCAUGCAAUGUAAGCUUCACUGUAAUACACUGAAUUCAUGCACAAAGUUUUCUACUUGCUGCUUCAAAACUCUGAUCUCUGGAAUUAAAAAAAAAAUUUGAUCAAAUGUGCCUAUAUAAGAGCUUCUGUCCAGUUGCUUUAAAUUACCUGCUAGUGCCUUUAAGUGUUGUUCUAAAAACAAAAAUAAAUAAUCAUUCAGGCUUUCAUUGUAAAACAUGUUUUAUAGCUUAAAGCACUUAAUGUUUUUUCACUUUUCUUUUGACAGACUGGUUUCAUUUAGUUCUCUAUUCUUUUCUGUAGUGCCUAGUAAUUAUCUUCUCACAUGGUGCUUUUUAACAGGAUGUUAAAAUUUCUUCCUAUUCAGUAGAUCUGGAAUUCCUUCAAGGAAGUGUGUACUUAUACCUUGUAUUGCAGAAAAGAAAUGGAAAUCAGCUAGAGAGAAAGUCUGGAAUCCCAGAGAGAAAUGUAGGAGAGUAACGCUACCCAUAGCUUUAUUCAUGUGUUCAUAUUUGGUGUAAGAUAUCCUUUCCUGUAGCCUUAGAUGUAACCUAACUUGAUGUUACACAUUUGAAAUUAUGCCUUUUGUAACAUUUUUACAUUGUAAAGCUCACAGACAUUCACAGUUUGAACAAUAUUGCCAAGACAUACCGAAUGUUAGCUCUAAAUUCCUGUCAUUUUGUCAGUCUUGGUGUUUUUGGCCCCAGCACAAGCCACUAACUCAAGCCAGCUCCAACACAAUACUGGAAUUAUGUGUUUGAAAGGAAAACCAUACUUGGAGGCAAUGGGUGUAAUUUAAGUUCACAGAAGAAAACCAUAUAUUUUGUGUAGUUGUUUGUAUAGCCAUAUAAACACGAACUAUACCAUUGGGGUGGUAGGAGGGGGAACUAAAAUGAAACAUUUAUGUAAGCCUGUGGAUCUAUGGCAACAAAUUCUCUGUCCUUCUAGUACAGCUAAAUAAUUCUAAAGAUGAAGGAAAGAUUUAAAAGUGAGGGUCUUGGACUAUUCUUGUGAUGGAAAAUGCUGAAUUUAAUUGAUAAAGAGUUCUUGUUUAUGCAGCAAAAGAAUAAAAAUCAGAAUGCAGUUUAGUCUUUUAUCCAUUUUUAAUGUUGAUUUGUGUAUUUACUCUAAAAUUUACAGUGCUCAGUGAUACCCCAGAUGAGCAGGAACUUGAAUGUGAAGAUACUGAUUUUGCUGAAUCUGUUUGAAAAAAGAAGCAAAGAAAUGCCACUGAACAAGACAUUGAUGUUUCAGUGUAACCCCCAGAGUAGCUCCAGCUUUUGUGUCGUCCAUAUGAAACUGUAUCCAAGACUGUGAAAUAGUGGGGGGGUUUGUUAGGGGUCACCUCACUGUGAGCACCCCUCUUAAAAAAUCUGUGACCAGCCCUUCACUGUGACUCCCCAACACAAGUGGAGAUGCUAUACAGUUAUGUUGCAUCCAUAACAUAUAACACUGCAUAUUUUCUGAAAAUUUAGACAUUUCAGAGAAUUGAAAUUAAUUUUGCAUUAAUGUAUGUCAGAUGAUGGCAGAAGAUUUUCUUGGAAAAAUUUAUUGGAAAAGGAUAUGUUCUUGAGAUCUGGACAUCAACUUCUAUUAAAUGUAAUGGCAUGAUAAACAGAAUUCCUGAGUAAUGUGUACACAUUCUCUGAGAUGGAUAUUAGUUUGAGGGAAAAAGAAUAAACUCAGAUGCAGAAAACUUCAUGGGACACUGCCACAUGAAGAUGUAGUCAUUCUCAGAUACCAUGAGCUUCAUUCACUCUAUUUGAGGACUGCAAGCAUGGAUCUUUUUCAUAUCUUGUUCCUUUCAUUGCUGAUUGUGUGGAAGUGGCAUCCAUGAAAUUUGAAGCAAUAAGUGCAUGACUAAGCAAGAGGAUGGAUGAAAAAGAGACUGUAUAGUCAAAACACCUAACAUAAAAAGAAUACUGUCCUCUGAAGUCUGCUCUGACAGUUCACUGGCUGAUUUUUUCAAGAAUGUGCAAAAUAUUUUGGAUCUCAAAGAAGAGCAUCCCAUCUGUCCUAUAACAGCUUUUUCAACAGGUUUUUGAUUCACAAGAUGAUAGUGCAGUAAUUGGAAAGCUCAAAGGAACAGUGGAAGCCCUCCAUGCGCUGCCCUCAGUCGAGAGGGGAAUGCAAAGAUGACUAUGAGGCAUGAAAGGAAGUUUGCCUACAGAAGAUCCUUCUCCCAGUGUAAAUACAUGCUUGAUAGUGCAUCAAAGAUGAGAUCUUUGUAAUUCCUACAGUAUAUUUAAUGUAUAAUUUAUAUGAAAAGGACGCUUGAUUUGUAGUUGUAAAGUUUUGUAUACUUUUCAGUCUGUUUGUUUUUAUAUUUUCCCCCUAGGCUAAGAAUAUCUCCACAAUGGACAACGUCUUGUAAAUAAUUAAUACCUACAUGAUUUAGCAAUGUGCUUUAUUUGCAUUUUUAAGAUUUUUUCCUACAUAAAACAGUAAUAAAAAUGCAAGUCAAAAUUUUAAUUUUUAAUAAAAAAACCAUAAGCCUUAGAAAACUGAUUAAAAAUACUUUUAUGUUAUCCCUAAUCACCCCGCUAAAUGGAAUGCCUGUGAUUAGCCUCAUUAAGAAUUUUAUACUGUGAAGAUUUUAUUAAAAGCAAUAUAUGAAAAUUA
Long non-coding RNA from Oenanthe melanoleuca, 3361 nucleotides. RefSeq lists it as uncharacterized. The transcript is spliced from 5 exons. NCBI's taxonomy places the organism in Eukaryota, Metazoa, Chordata, Aves, Passeriformes, Muscicapidae. The record is from RefSeq and is a predicted model, not a curated record.